GACGUAGGGCGCGAGCGUUGUCCGGAUUUAUUGGGCGUAAAGAGCUCGUAGGCGGCUUGUCGCGUCGUCCGUGAAAACCCGCAGCUCAACUGUGGGCCUGCAGCUGAUACGGGCGGGCUGGAGUUCGGUAGGGGAGACUGGAAUUCCCGGUGUAGCGGUGAAAUGCGCAGAUAUCAGGAGGAACACCGGUGGCGAAGGCGGGUCUCUGGGCAGUAACUGACGCUGAGGAGCGAAAGCGUGGGGAGCAAACAGG
This 253-nucleotide ribosomal RNA is filed under the name uncultured bacterium. Its description in RNAcentral is "partial 16S ribosomal RNA". It matches the Rfam family "Bacterial small subunit ribosomal RNA", at positions 524 to 776 of the family's 1533-position model. The record is from RNAcentral.